AGAAUCAACGCUGGCGGCGUGCCUAACACAUGCAAGUCGCACGAGAAAGGGGAGCAAUCCCUGAGUACAGUGGCGCACGGGUGAGUAACACGUGAAUAAUCUACCUCCGAGUGGGGAAUAACUGAGAGAAAUCUGGGCUAAUACCGCAUAAUACCUUCGGGUCAAAGGAGCAAUUCGCUUAAGGAGGGGGUCGCGGCCGAUUAGUUAGUUGGCGGGGUAAUGGCCCACCAAGACUGUGAUCGGUA
Molecule: ribosomal RNA, 245 nt
Filed under: uncultured bacterium
Lineage: Bacteria
Description: partial small subunit ribosomal RNA
Rfam family: Bacterial small subunit ribosomal RNA
Source: RNAcentral